This 253-nucleotide ribosomal RNA is filed under the name uncultured bacterium. RNAcentral's name for it is "partial 16S ribosomal RNA". It matches the Rfam family "Bacterial small subunit ribosomal RNA", at positions 524 to 776 of the family's 1533-position model. The record is from RNAcentral.
UACGAAGGGGGCUAGCGUUGUUCGGAUUUACUGGGCGUAAAGCGCGCGUAGGCGGAUUGGUCAGUUAGGGGUGAAAUCCCAGGGCUCAACCCUGGAACUGCCUUUAAUACUGCCAGUCUUGAGUAUGGUAGAGGUGAGUGGAAUUCCGAGUGUAGAGGUGAAAUUCGUAGAUAUUCGGAGGAACACCAGUGGCGAAGGCGGCUCACUGGACCAUUACUGACGCUGAGGUGCGAAAGCGUGGGGAGCAAACAGG